GGAUUGUUUCGGUUUUUAUUUCCGAAGAUUCUUUCCGCCGUCCGUUCCCGUGGCGAAUCUGCGGCCGGCGGCCGUGCGGGAGGGGAGGCGGGGCCUCGCUCUGCGCAGGCGUAGCGGCGGCGCCGCCUCUCGCGGUGUCCGGGCCGCGCUCCGGCCCCGCUUCGCUUUCACCGGAACCCGAGGCCGCCGCCGCUCCCCUUUCCCGGCAAUUUUGGGGAUGCUGAGGCGCCGGGUGACGUUCGAGGAGCCCCCGGGGGAGGGGGAGGGGCCGGAGGAGCCGCCCCGGAAACGGCGGGCUGUGGCCGUGGGGGGUCCCGGGAGCCGCUUCCCGGCCCAGCCGUCCCUGGACAGCGACGAGGAGGAGGAGGAGGAGGAGGAAGAGCAGAGGGAGGAGGGGCCGCCCGUGGAGGGGCAGGAGCCGGGCCCCGCGCCGGGGGUGGGGGAGGGGCCGGUGCCCCUCACCCCCUUCAACCUGGAGGAGGAGUUGGGGGA
RNAcentral lists this long non-coding RNA (492 nucleotides) under Serinus canaria (Common canary). RNAcentral describes it as "lncRNA (ENSSCAG00000000528.1)". The record is from RNAcentral. Lineage: Eukaryota; Metazoa; Chordata; Aves; Passeriformes; Fringillidae.